This 477-nucleotide ribosomal RNA is filed under the name uncultured bacterium. Its description in RNAcentral is "bacterial SSU rRNA". It matches the Rfam family "Bacterial small subunit ribosomal RNA", at positions 328 to 793 of the family's 1533-position model. The record is from RNAcentral.
GCAGAGCACUCCUACGGGAGGCAGCAGUGGGGAAUAUUGCACAAUGGGCGCAAGCCUGAUGGAGCAACACCGCGUGAGUGAAGAAGGGUUUCGGCUCGUAAAGCUCUGUUGUUAAAGAAGAACACGUAUGAGAGUAACUGUUCAUACGUUGACGGUAUUUAACCAGAAAGUCACGGCUAACUACGUGCCAGCAGCCGCGGUAAUACGUAGGUGGCAAGCGUUAUCCGGAUUUAUUGGGCGUAAAGAGAGUGCAGGCGGUUUUCUAAGUCUGAUGUGAAAGCCUUCGGCUUAACCCGGAGAAGUGCAUCGGAAACUGGAUAACUUGAGUGCAGAAGAGGGUAGUGGAACUCCAUGUGUAGCGGUGGAAUGCGUAGAUAUAUGGAAGAACACCAGUGGCGAAGGCGGCUACCUGGUCUGCAACUGACGCUGAGACCUCGAAAGCAUGGGUAGCCGAACAGGAUUAGACUACCCUGGUAG